This 440-nucleotide ribosomal RNA is filed under the name Stutzerimonas stutzeri. RNAcentral describes it as "bacterial SSU rRNA". It matches the Rfam family "Bacterial small subunit ribosomal RNA", at positions 30 to 470 of the family's 1533-position model. The record is from RNAcentral. Lineage: Bacteria; Pseudomonadati; Pseudomonadota; Gammaproteobacteria; Pseudomonadales; Pseudomonadaceae.
AUUGAACGCUGGCGGCAGGCCUAACACAUGCAAGUCGAGCGGAUGAAGAGAGCUUGCUCUCUGAUUCAGCGGCGGACGGGUGAGUAAUGCCUAGGAAUCUGCCUGAUAGUGGGGGACAAUGUUUCGAAAGGAACGCUAAUACCGCAUACGUCCUACGGGAGAAAGCAGGGGACCUUCGGGCCUUGCGCUAUCAGAUGAGCCUAGGUCGGAUUAGCUAGUUGGUGAGGUAAUGGCUCACCAAGGCGACGAUCCGUAACUGGUCUGAGAGGAUGAUCAGUCACACUGGAACUGAGACACGGUCCAGACUCCUACGGGAGGCAGCAGUGGGGAAUAUUGGACAAUGGGCGAAAGCCUGAUCCAGCCAUGCCGCGUGUGUGAAGAAGGUCUUCGGAUUGUAAAGCACUUUAAGUUGGGAGGAAGGGCAUUAACCUAAUACGGUA